RNAcentral lists this ribosomal RNA (492 nucleotides) under uncultured bacterium. Its description in RNAcentral is "partial 16S ribosomal RNA". It matches the Rfam family "Bacterial small subunit ribosomal RNA", at positions 29 to 507 of the family's 1533-position model. The record is from RNAcentral.
AUUGAACGCUGGCGGCAUGCUUUACACAUGCAAGUCGAACGGUAACAGGCCUUCGGGUGCUGACGAGUGGCGAACGGGUGAGUAAUGCGUCGGAACGUACCCAGAGGUGGGGGAUAACGCAGCGAAAGCUGUGCUAAUAACGCAGGUGAUCUGAGGAUGAAAGCGGGGGACCGAGCAGCAAUGUUUGGCCUCGCGCCUUUGGAGCGGCCGAUGUCGGAUUAGCUAGUUGGUGGGGUAAAGGCCUACCAAGGCGACGAUCCGUAGCUGGUCUGAGAGGCAGACCAGCCACACUGGGACUGAGACACGGCCCCGACUCCUACGGGAGGCAGCAGUGGGGAAUUUUGGACAAUGGGCGCAAGCCUGAUCCAGCAAUGCCGCGUGCGGGAAGAAGGCCUUCGGGUUGUAAACCGCUUUUGGCAGGAACGAAACGGUGUCCGCUAAUACCGGGCGCUAAUGACGGUACCUGCAGAAUAAGCACCGGCUAACUACGUG